CCUACGGGAGGCAGCAGUAGGGAAUCUUCCACAAUGGGCGAAAGCCUGAUGGAGCAACGCCGCGUGGGUGAAGAAGGUCUUCGGAUCGUAAAACCCUGUUGUUAGAGAAGAAAGUGCGUGAGAGUAACUGUUCACGUUUCGACGGUAUCUAACCAGAAAGCCACGGCUAACGACGUGCCAGCAGCCGCGGUAAUACGUAGGUGGCAAGCGUUAUCCGGAUUGAUUGGGCGUAAAGGGAACGCAGGCGGUCUUUUAAGUCUGAUGUGAAAGCCUUCGGCUUAACCGGAGUAGUGCAUUGGAAACUGGGAGACUUGAGUGCAGGAGAGGAGAGUGGAACUCCAUGUGUAGCGGUGAAAUGCGUAGAUAUAUGGAAGAACACCAGUGGCGAAAGCGGCUCUCUGGUCUGUAACUGACGCUGAGGUUCGAAAGCGUGGGUAGCAAACAGGAUUAGAUACCCGAGUAGUC
RNAcentral lists this ribosomal RNA (465 nucleotides) under uncultured bacterium. RNAcentral describes it as "partial 16S ribosomal RNA". It matches the Rfam family "Bacterial small subunit ribosomal RNA", at positions 338 to 795 of the family's 1533-position model. The record is from RNAcentral.